RNAcentral lists this ribosomal RNA (616 nucleotides) under uncultured Hyphomicrobiales bacterium. Its description in RNAcentral is "bacterial SSU rRNA". It matches the Rfam family "Bacterial small subunit ribosomal RNA", at positions 127 to 777 of the family's 1533-position model. The record is from RNAcentral. Lineage: Bacteria; Pseudomonadati; Pseudomonadota; Alphaproteobacteria; Hyphomicrobiales.
UACCUUGAGCUACGGGAUAACAGAGAGAAAUUUCUGCUAAUACCGUAUGUGGCCUUUGGGCGAAAGAUUUAUCGGCUUAAGAUGAGCCCGCGUUGGAUUAGCUGGUUGGUGGGGUAAAGGCCUACCAAGGCGACGAUCCAUAGCUGGUCUGAGAGGAUGAUCAGCCACACUGGGACUGAGACACGGCCCAGACUCCUACGGGAGGCAGCAGUGGGGAAUAUUGGACAAUGGGCGCAAGCCUGAUCCAGCCAUGCCGCGUGAGUGAAGAAGGCCUUAGGGUUGUAAAGCUCUUUCACCGGUGAAGAUAAUGACGGUAGCCGGAGAAGAAGCCCCGGCUAACUUCGUGCCAGCAGCCGCGGUAAUACGAAGGGGGCUAGCGUUGUUCGGAUUUACUGGGCGUAAAGCGCGCGUAGGCGGAUAGAUAAGUCAGAGGUGAAAUCCCGGGGCUCAACCCCGGAAUUGCCUUUGAUACUGUUUAUCUUGAGUGCAGAAGAGGUAAGUGGAAUUCCGAGUGUAGAGGUGAAAUUCGUAGAUAUUCGGAGGAACACCAGUGGCGAANGCGGCUUACUGGUCUGCAACUGACGCUGANGCGCGAANGCGUGGGGNGCAAACAGGA